GCGUGAGUGAUGAAGGCCUUAGGGUUGUAAAGCUCUUUCGACGGGGACGAUGAUGACGGUACCCGUAGAAGAAGCCCCGGCUAACUUCGUGCCAGCAGCCGCGGUAAUACGAAGGGGGCUAGCGUUGUUCGGAAUUACUGGGCGUAAAGCGCACGCAGGCGGUCUGAUUAGUCAGAAGUGAAAGCCCCGGGCUUAACCUGGGAACUGCUUUUGAUACUGUCAGGCUUGAAUCACGGAGAGGGUAGUGGAAUUCCGAGUGUAGAGGUGAAAUUCGU
RNAcentral lists this ribosomal RNA (275 nucleotides) under uncultured bacterium. RNAcentral's name for it is "partial 16S ribosomal RNA". It matches the Rfam family "Bacterial small subunit ribosomal RNA", at positions 399 to 691 of the family's 1533-position model. The record is from RNAcentral.